This 1342-nucleotide ribosomal RNA is filed under the name Nerita albicilla. RNAcentral describes it as "16S ribosomal RNA". It matches the Rfam family "Bacterial large subunit ribosomal RNA", at positions 580 to 2769 of the family's 2925-position model. The record is from RNAcentral. Lineage: Eukaryota; Metazoa; Mollusca; Gastropoda; Cycloneritida; Neritidae.
UUUCAGCAUGGUUUCAUUAAUCAUCUACCCCAUAAUAAUUAAACCAUUCUAUUAUUUAGUAAUGUUGAAUGAACAACCUAAUUUCAUUAAGUACCGAGAGGGAAUAAAUCAGUAUCAUUAUAGUAGAGAUAAAGUCUCGUACCUUUUGCAUCAUGGGAAGACAAGAAUUUUUUUCAAAUUAAAUCACCCGAACUUUAAGUGAGCUACUCUGUAGAAAUAAACCUAAUGUUGCAAAAUUAUUGUUAACUACAUAAUAGAUGCUAAAUACUUACCGCACUAAAAGAUAGCUGGUUACUCAGAAAAGAUAUAAAAGUAUCUUCUUUCAUUAAAGAAAGAGACAAUAAUAGAAGGAUAAGCUUCUGUUAUUAUAAUGGCUUAAGACUACUAACUUUUUAGAAGUAGGAAUAAAAUUUUCCAUCACCAAUUUUGUUAUAAAAUAUAAAGCACUACUUAGAAAAUAAAUUUACUAAAAGCCUUAUUUGUUACUGAGUUAUAUAGACCAACCAAUCACCCACCUAUAAAACUGAUGUUUUCACAAGUAUUUUUAUACCUAACCAUUUUCCCCUAAAAUAAAAAUUUACACAAAUUUACAUUAGUAAAAUAUAUAUAAGGAACUCGGCAAAUUUACUACUCCGCCUGUUUAUCAAAAACAUGUCUCUUAGAAAACAUUAAGAGUCAGGCCUGCCCAGUGAUCACUUUAACGGCCGCGGUACCCUGACCGUGCAAAGGUAGCAUAAUCAUUUGCCUUUUAAUUGGAGGCUAGUAUGAAUGGUCUGACGAGAGUAAAACUGUCUCAUAUAUAUUCAAUAGAAAUUAACUUAAAGGUGCAAAGGCCUUUAUAAUCUAAAAAGACGAGAAGACCCUGUUGAGCUUUAAUCUUAAUAAGCAUUUCUUCUAUAUUCAUAAAUUCAUUUUGCUUACUAAAGAUUUUAAUUGGGGCGAUUAAGGAACACUCACCAGCUUCCUGAAUUCAAUUAAAAAUGUUCAUAGACUAAAUCGAUCCAGCAAUGUUGAUCAGCAAAGCGAGUUACCACAGGGAUAACAGCAUAAUUCUCCUUGAGAGCCCAUAUCGAAAGAAGAGAUUGUGACCUCGAUGUUGGACUAGGGUAACCAGAAGGUGCAGCCGCUUUCUUGUUUGGUCUGUUCGACCAAUAAUUCCCUACAUGAUCUGAGUUCAGACCGGCGUAAGCCAGGUCAGUUUCUAUCUUUUAAAUCAAUAUAAAUUUAGGCUAGUACGAAAGGACCGCUUAAAAUAAAUAUUUUAUCAUUUGGUGAACAAUAAUCUAACUUAGUUUUUAUGAGGUUGGCAGAGAGUAAUGCAGUUGACUUAGGAUCAACAGAC